Molecule: RNA transcript, 1632 nt
Organism: Myotis davidii
Lineage: Eukaryota; Metazoa; Chordata; Mammalia; Chiroptera; Vespertilionidae
Gene name: metalloreductase STEAP2 pseudogene
Exons: 2
Source: RefSeq, a predicted model, not a curated record
GCCCUUUGUUUUUCUGUCUUCUGUUGUCCUGUGUGCUGUAACGUCCUACCAUAGUCCUUUCUACCACUAGCAGCUUUUCUGAUCUGCUGCGAAAUUGGGUAAUCAGGUUAGAACUGUGUCUUUUAAACUGUUCUCGGUGAAGACAUCCAUCUCUUCCUUGUGUUCCCUAGUGCCCUGCUGCUCAGAGAGGGGCCUGCAGACGAACGGCAGCAGCUCGCUGGACAGAAAUGCAGACUCGUGGGCCGCACUCCAGAACUGCUGAGUCCGAGUCAGCGUUUUAACGAGGUUCUCAGGAUAUCCCUGGUGAUCUUGGAAGAGUCUGUGUCAUGGAAUCUAUCUCGAUGAUGGGAAGCCCUAAGAGCCUUAGUGAUACUUUUUUGCCUAAUGGCAUAAAUAGUAUCAAAGAUGCGAGGAAGGUCACCGUAGGUGUAAUUGGAAGUGGGGAUUUUGCCAAAUCCCUGACCAUUCGACUGAUUAGAUGUGGCUAUCAUGUGGUCAUAGGAAGUAGAAAUCCUAAAUUUGCUUCUGAAUUUUUUCCUCAUGUGGUAGAUGUCACUCAUCAUGAAGAUGUUCUAACAAAAACAAAUAUAAUAUUUGUUGCUAUACACAGAGAACAUUACACCUCCCUGUGGGACCUGAGACAUCUGCUCGUGGGUAAAAUCCUGAUUGACGUGAGCAAUAACAUGAGGGUAAACCAAUACCCAGAGUCCAAUGCUGAAUAUUUGGCUUCCUUAUUCCCGGAUUCACUGGUUGUCAAAGGAUUUAACGUUAUCUCAGCCUGGGCACUUCAGUUAGGGCCAAAGGAUGCCAGCCGGCAGGUGUGUAUUUUUACAUCUUAUUCUUGUUUAUCUAGUAUUUUGUGGUUAUGUAGUUAAACAAAUAGCAUACAUUUAAAAACCAAAUUCAGACCCCCUCCAAUGAUUAUCAUUUAGAAAACUAUGUAUGAGCACCCGAAAGUCCUGACCUCGUCGGGGCACACAUCUUUUCUUGGACUUUUCUGUCAUAACCAGCUAAUCCAAGAAAAGGCAAGGUUUGCUGAUGAAGAAUGGAACACAUUGAAUUGAUCUCUCCUUGCCUCCUCCAAAAUAGAAAGAAACAGCAAGCAUGUCCUUUGUCUUUCCUCCCUCUUCCUUCUCCCCUCUUCCUUGCUUGCAACUAUUCUGUAGCUGUAUUCCAUCACUGUGUGAAAUACGACUUAAUGUGACCCUCCAGAAGAAUGCUUUGGGAGUACCUUUUUAUUUUACAUAGGUUAUUCAUAGAACUUAUUAAAACACAGUAGUACAGCUUAUUUUAUUGUUAAGUGUAGGUUUUAAUCCCUGUGGGCAAGAUAGAAGCAGAUUGGAUUUCUUAGGUUCUCGGUUAGUGAGGGGUUGUGUCUAGUUCACCUUGAAAAUCAAAGCAGAUGGGGAACUCCCUCCAUGCCUUUGUGGAAUGAGAGCCUUUGUAAGUAAACAUAUGAAUAGUGCGCCUUAAAGGUGUGAUGCUGCAUUAUAAUUAAGCAUGAUGAAAAAUACCUUCGUUAUUUUUGUCCAUAACGAUAGUUGAUUAGGAGUCUUAGAAAAUAAAUUCAAGUAUUAUAUCACUGCAUGCUGCAUGUCAUUCACAAUAGCCGUUCACUUUCGGGUCUUUAAU